GGACGGGGCCAUGGAAGUCGGAAUCCGCUAAGGAGUGUGUAACAACUCACCUGCCGAAUGAACUAGCCCUGAAAAUGGAUGACGCUUAAGCGGAUAGCCGACACCCCGCCGUUUGGGUAAGAAUUGACCUGAAUGAGUAGGAGGGCGUGGCGGUCUUGUGAGGAAGGUUGAGACGCAAGUCUGACUGAAACGGCCGCUAGUGCAGAUCUUGGUGGUAGUAGCAAAUAUUCAAGCGAGAUCCUUGAAGGGCGAAGCGGGGAAGGGUUCCACGCGAACAUUGAUUGGGCGUGGGUGAGUCGUUCCUAAGCCGGGUGGUAAUCGUUCUUCGAAGCGGCGAAAGGGAAGCGGGUUAAAAUUCCCGCACACGGAUGUGGAGGCGGCAACGCAAUUUGAGGUGAAGACAUCAGCGGUGGCGCUAGGCAGAGUUUUCUUUUCUGUUUGACCUGUGAGAUGCACUGUGUGGAAUCCGAUUAUCGGGAGAAACACGUGCCAAAGGGCAGAGCGUCGGGGCGUCCCCGGCGUCUAGCACGCCACCGAUGGUCCUUGAAAAUUCACCUGCAAUAUAAUUUCACGCCGUGGCGUACCGAUAACCGCAUCAGGUCCCCAAGGUGAACAGCCUCUGCUCAAUAUGAACAAUGCAGGUAAGGGAAGUCGGCAAAAUAGACCCGUAACUUUGGGAAAAGGGUUGGCUCUAGUGGAGUGAAGGAUUUUAAAAUGGAUUGCAGGGUCCUGGAUGAUGGCAGGCUGGACUCGGCUAACCUGGCAACGGGUUUGGCUUGGUCUGGCUGGCUUUUGUUUGGGGCUCUGGGGUUCGCCUUCAGCAUGCUCCAGACUAGAACUGCAACGGGCAAAGGGAAUCCGACUGUUUAAUUAAAACAAAGCAUUGCGAUGGCCGAGGUCGGUGUAGACGCAAUGUGAUUUCUGCCAAGUGCUCUGAUUGCAACGGGCCAAGGGAAUCCGACUGUUUAAUUAAAACAAAGCAUUGCGAUGGCCGAGGUCGGUGUAGACGCAAUGUGAUUUCUGCUCAGUGCUCUGAAUGUCAAAGUGAAGAGAUUCAAACAAGCGCGGGUAAACAGCGGGAGUAACUAUGACUCUCUUAAGGUAGCCAAAUGCCUCGUCAUCUAAUUAGUGACGCGCAUGAAUGGAUUAACGAGAUUCCUACUGUCCCUAUCUGCUUCUAGCGAAACCACAGCCGAGGGAACGGGCUCGGCGAAACCGGCGGGGAAAGAAGACCCUGUUGAGCUUGACUCUAUUCUAAUUUUGUGACGCAAGUUAGGAGGUGUAGCAUAGGUGGGAGCUUUCGGGCGCCAAUGAAAUACCACUACUCUUAAUCUUGUUUUACUUAUGGCGUGAGACUGCACGAUCUUUAUAGAUCUUUUUUGGCAUCAACUCGGAUUCUGGCGGGGGCUUGCUUUCGUCACCGAGGAGCAGCGCGCCUGACACAUUUAGGAGGGGAGUUUGGCUGGGGCGGCACAUCUUCUACAAGACAACGAAGGUGUCCAAAGAUGAGCUCAGUGAGAACAGAAAUCUCACGUAGCGCAAAAGGGUAAAAGCUUGUUUGAUUUUGAUUUUCAGUGUGAGUUGAAAACACGAAAGUGUGGCCUAUCGAUCCUUUCACGAUUCGAGGUUUGAAGCGAGA
Molecule: ribosomal RNA, 1639 nt
Filed under: Clathromorphum compactum
Lineage: Eukaryota; Rhodophyta; Florideophyceae; Hapalidiales; Hapalidiaceae
Description: partial 28S ribosomal RNA
Rfam family: Eukaryotic large subunit ribosomal RNA
Source: RNAcentral